This 253-nucleotide ribosomal RNA is filed under the name uncultured bacterium. Its description in RNAcentral is "partial 16S ribosomal RNA". It matches the Rfam family "Bacterial small subunit ribosomal RNA", at positions 524 to 776 of the family's 1533-position model. The record is from RNAcentral.
UACGUAGGGACCAAGCGUUGUUCGGAUUUACUGGGCGUAAAGGGCGCGUAGGCGGCGUGACAAGUCACUUGUGAAAUCUCUGGGCUUAACCCAGAACGGCCAAGUGAAACUGUUGUGCUAGAGUGCAGAAGGGGCAAUCGGAAUUCUCGGUGUAGCGGUGAAAUGCGUAGAUAUCGAGAGGAACACCAGAGGUGAAGACGGGUUGCUGGGCUGACACUGACGCUGAGGCGCGAAAGCCAGGAGAGCAAACGGG